This 499-nucleotide ribosomal RNA is filed under the name uncultured bacterium. Its description in RNAcentral is "bacterial SSU rRNA". It matches the Rfam family "Bacterial small subunit ribosomal RNA", at positions 29 to 521 of the family's 1533-position model. The record is from RNAcentral.
AGUGAACGCUGGCGGCAUGCCUUACACAUGCAAGUCGAACGGCAGCACGGGGCGACCUGGUGGCGAGUGGCGAACGGGUGAGUAAUACAUCGGAACGUGCCCAAUCGUGGGGGAUAACGUAGCGAAAGUUACGCUAAUACCGCAUACGAUCUACGGAUGAAAGCGGGGGAUCGCAAGACCUCGCGCGAGUGGAGCGGCCGAUGUCAGAUUAGGUAGUUGGUGGGGUAAAGGCUCACCAAGCCAACGAUCUGUAGCUGGUCUGAGAGGACGACCAGCCACACUGGAACUGAGACACGGUCCAGACUCCUACGGGAGGCAGCAGUGGGGAAUUUUGGACAAUGGGCGCAAGCCUGAUCCAGCCAUUCCGCGUGCAGGAUGAAGGCCUUCGGGUUGUAACUGCUUUUGUACGGAACGAAACGGCGGGCUCGUAAUACAGUUUGUCUAACUGACGGUACCGUAAGAAUAAGCACCGGCUAACUACGUGCCAGCAGCCGACGGU